Chlorocebus sabaeus (green monkey) is the source of this 945-nucleotide long non-coding RNA. RefSeq lists it as uncharacterized. Lineage: Eukaryota; Metazoa; Chordata; Mammalia; Primates; Cercopithecidae. The record is from RefSeq and is a predicted model, not a curated record.
AUCUGGGGACAAGGGAAAAGGAUAGCAGGUUACAUCUCAGGCACACUCACACUCUCCGCUGAUUUGUUCCUCCCCUUCCCCUUGCCCUGGAUUCACUUUUAUUGAGCGAAGUCACGAGAGAACUCGUCUCGGCGCUGAAACCUCUCUCUCCCAACAGUUGCCAAGGAGCGACGCAUGAAAAGUUCCUGUGUGUCCCUCACGUCCACAUGCACGCAUAUAGAGUCCGUGUCCUCGGCAAAGCCCCUCAUCUUUCUUGGACCCUUGCCCAAAUGUUGCCACCCUGAGUACCGGCCCAACUCAGCACCACGUCUGCCCUGUGCCUCCCUGGAGAUCCUCGGGGAAGCGAGAAGGAGGGGCGACCGCAAAUUAGUUUUAUUCUGAGCUGUCACACAGUGACAACUUGAACGAGUGACUUUUCAAACAAAAUAAGACGGAUGGCUCCAAACGUCUUCCUUAGACGCAGCCAAACCUUUCCCCGGAGCCUCAGAGGCUACAAAACAGGCUGCCUCCAGAAACCUGGGAGCGGCACGCGCGUCCCUCCUUUGCAGGAGAUUGUAGGAAAUGUUAGCCUCCCUCCUCCACCACAUCUCCGGAUCAUGUGGGGUUCGUUGUUUUGCAAGUGCCCACAAGAGCAGAUUUCCGUGGGGUUCAAUAUUGCUUUCAAUUCUGUGACAGCUUCCCCAGGAACCCCUUGGGCCUGGUCGCAGGAGGAGCUGCAGUGGUGGUCAACGUCUUCCAUUCAUGCCUUGGGUCUUUAGAACGCAGGGUGGUGGUAGUGGGGGUUUUGUGCAACAUCAACAUCUCUAUUUUAAGAAUUUGUUCUCUUUUAAAUUAUAGUCAGAAUGGAUUUCCCCACCCCUCUCCCAGACAAACCACAGGCCACCCAGAUAAGCUGUUCUUGCACAUUUUCAGGAAGAAAAUAAAAUAAUACGAAUAAUGAAACCA